AUUGAACGCUGGCGGCAUGCCUUACACAUGCAAGUCGAACGGCAGCGGACCUUCGGGUGCCGGCGAGUGGCGAACGGGUGAGUAAUGCAUCGGAACGUGCCAUUGAGUGGGGGAUAACGUAGCGAAAGUUGCGCUAAUACCGCAUAUUCUGUGAGCAGGAAAGCAGGGGGACCGCAAGGCCUUGCGCUCUUUGAGCGGCCGAUGUCAGAUUAGCUAGUUGGUGAGGUAACGGCUUACCAAGGCGACGAUCUGUAGCGGGUCUGAGAGGAUGAUCCGCCACACUGGAACUGAGACACGGUCCAGACUCCUACGGGAGGCAGCAGUGGGGAAUUUUGGACAAUGGGGGCAACCCUGAUCCAGCCAUGCCGCGUGAGUGAAGAAGGCCUUCGGUGUAAG
Molecule: ribosomal RNA, 396 nt
Filed under: uncultured bacterium
Lineage: Bacteria
Description: bacterial SSU rRNA
Rfam family: Bacterial small subunit ribosomal RNA
Source: RNAcentral